GAAUUUGGAUUGACAGGCAGCUAAACAUGAGCCAGUGUGUGCCCAGCUGGGCAAGAAGGCCAGUGGUACCUGGCCUGUGUCAGAAAUAGUG
This is a long non-coding RNA of Empidonax traillii (willow flycatcher), 91 nucleotides long. RefSeq lists it as uncharacterized. Lineage: Eukaryota; Metazoa; Chordata; Aves; Passeriformes; Tyrannidae. The transcript has 3 exons. The record is from RefSeq and is a predicted model, not a curated record.